This 820-nucleotide long non-coding RNA is filed under the name Gossypium barbadense (sea-island cotton). RNAcentral's name for it is "long non-coding RNA (GBAR_LNC023314)". Lineage: Eukaryota; Viridiplantae; Streptophyta; Magnoliopsida; Malvales; Malvaceae. The record is from RNAcentral.
GAUGGUCUUUUUUUAUUACAUUUUUGGUUCACAAUAGAACCUGAAGAAGGAACACAAAGAAACACAACAGAGACUCACUCUUUUGCUAGUAAUUUCAAACAAACUACCACUGACAAGAAGACACAAGCAAACGUGGAAGCAUACAAAAAAAAAAAAAGGGACUCUCAACAAGUUCAGAUAAUAUUAACCAGUUCCUCCAAGAACACCCUUCAGCUUCUUAAUCUGAGCAGCAUCCAGAAAAGUGGUUUCUUCAAUAAUGUCAGUCGGCAAGUCAUUUGCAAACAAGGCAAAGUCGAGGAUUUGGAGACCAGGGUCUGGACUGCUGAAGGAUACAAAUGCCAAGGAUUGAGUUUUGCCUGCAUUGAUUUGGAAAUGUAAUAAACCUUGUGGGAAUACCAUAAUGUCUCCUUUAUUCAGAGAUUUGAAGUAAACUUUGUUAGCUGAGGAUAUGAAACCAGCACAAAUUGUGCCUUGAAUAACAACAAGGACUUCAGAAGCCCCAGGGUGUGUAUGCAUAGGUAUCACUCCACCAACAGAUAAAUCCAAACGAGCUAUUGAAAUGCCGAGUCCGUUAACACCCGGGAAUUGAGCCGAAAAGGCUGGUGUUACUGCAGCUUUUAUGAGGUUCGAAGUGUUGCCUGUGGCAGCGAGGCCGGAGUAAACGAAGUCAUUUACGGUGACUGUCUUCUUGCAAGAAUAGCCUGCAGGGCCUACAGGGCCAUUCAAGUCCCCAACACAGAAGUCGGCUGCGUUGGUGGAGGAAAAUAGGAAAGAUAAAAUGAAAAAGAUUGGGAUAAACAUGUUUAUGGCACUGGUUUUU